UACAGAGACCUCAAACGUUGUCCGGAUUUACUGGGCGUAAAGGGUUCGUAGGCGGUCUGAUGCGUCAAUGGUCAAAUCUUAGGGCUCAACUCUAAGACUGCCAAUGAUACGGUCAGACUUGUGCAUGGGAGAGGCGAGCGGAAUUACCGGUGUAGUAGUAAAAUGCGUUCAUAUCGGUAAGAACACCAAAUGCGAAGGCAGCUCGCUGGAACAUUGCAGACGCUAAGGAACGAAAGCGUGGGGAGCGAAAGGG
Molecule: ribosomal RNA, 253 nt
Filed under: uncultured bacterium
Lineage: Bacteria
Description: partial 16S ribosomal RNA
Rfam family: Bacterial small subunit ribosomal RNA
Source: RNAcentral